This 492-nucleotide ribosomal RNA is filed under the name uncultured bacterium. RNAcentral's name for it is "partial 16S ribosomal RNA". It matches the Rfam family "Bacterial small subunit ribosomal RNA", at positions 29 to 507 of the family's 1533-position model. The record is from RNAcentral.
AGUGAACGCUGGCGGUAGGCCUAACACAUGCAAGUCGAACGGCAGCACUGUAAGAGCUUGCUCUUACGGGUGGCGAGUGGCGGACGGGUGAGGAAUACAUCGGAAUCUACUUUUUCGUGGGGGAUAACGUAGGGAAACUUACGCUAAUACCGCAUACGACCUACGGGUGAAAGCAGGGGAUCUUCGGACCUUGCGCGAUUGAAUGAGUCGAUGUCGGAUUAGCUAGUUGGCGGGGUAAAGGCCCACCAAGGCGACGAUCCGUAGCUGGUCUGAGAGGAUGAUCAGCCACACUGGAACUGAGACACGGUCCAGACUCCUACGGGAGGCAGCAGUGGGGAAUAUUGGACAAUGGGCGCAAGCCUGAUCCAGCCAUACCGCGUGGGUGAAGAAGGCCUUCGGGUUGUAAAGCCCUUUUGUUGGGAAAGAAAAGCAGCAGGUUAAUACCCCGCUGUUCUGACGGUACCCAAAGAAUAAGCACCGGCUAACUUCGUG